RNAcentral lists this ribosomal RNA (499 nucleotides) under uncultured bacterium. Its description in RNAcentral is "partial 16S ribosomal RNA". It matches the Rfam family "Bacterial small subunit ribosomal RNA", at positions 28 to 507 of the family's 1533-position model. The record is from RNAcentral.
GAUGAACGCUGGCGGCGUGCCUAAUACAUGCAAGUCGAGCGAACAGACGAGAGUGCUUGCACUCUCUGACGUUAGCGGCGGACGGGUGAGUAACACGUGGGUAACCUACCUAUAAGACUGGGAUAACUUCGGGAAACCGGAGCUAAUACCGGAUAAUAUUUAGCUUCGCAUGAAGCAAUAGUGAAAGACGGUUCUGCUGUCACUUAUAGAUGGACCCGCGGUUUAUUAGCUAGUUGGUGAGGUAACGGCUCACCAAGGCAACGAUACAUAGCCGACCUGAGAGGGUGAUCGGCCACACUGGGACUGAGACACGGCCCAGACUCCUACGGGAGGCAGCAGUAGGGAAUCUUCCGCAAUGGACGAAAGUCUGACGGAGCAAUGCCGCGUGAGUGAAGAAGGUUUUCGGAUCGUAAAACUCUGUUGUAAGGGAAGAACAAGUACGUUAGUAACUGAACGUACCUUGACGGUACCUUACCAGAAAGCCACGGCUAACUACGUG